UACGUAGGGGUCGAGCGUUGUCCGGACUUACUGGGCGUAAAGCGUGCGUAGGUGGUUCGUUAAGUCUGAUGUGAAAGCCCUGGGCUCAACCUGGGAAUGGCAUUGGAAACUGGCGAUCUAGAGUGCGGUAGAGGGCAGUGGAAUUCCCGGUGUAGCAGUGAAAUGCGUAGAGAUCGGGAGGAACAUCAGUGGCGAAGGCGACUGCCUGGACCAGGACUGACACUGAGGCACGAAAGCGUGGGGAGCGAACAGG
Molecule: ribosomal RNA, 253 nt
Filed under: uncultured bacterium
Lineage: Bacteria
Description: partial 16S ribosomal RNA
Rfam family: Bacterial small subunit ribosomal RNA
Source: RNAcentral